CGGAGGGGGCGAGCGUUAUUCGGAAUUAUUGGGCGUAAAGGGCGCGUAGGCGGCCCUGCAAGUCAAAGGUGAAAUCCCUCGGCUCAACUGAGGAACUGCCUUUGAAACUGCAGGGCUUGAGUCCGGAGGGGGUAGCGGAAUUCCCAGUGUAGCGGUGAAAUGCGUAGAUAUUGGGAGGAACACCAGUGGCGAAGGCGGCUACCUGGACCGGAACUGACGCUGAUGCGCGAAAGCGUGGGUAGCAAACAGGAUUAGAUACCCUGGUAGUCCACGCUGUAAACGAUGGGUGCUCGGUGUCGCGGGUAUCGACCCCUGCGGUGCCUUAGCCAACGCGUUAAGCACCCCGCCUGGGGAGUACGGUCGCAAGGCUG
RNAcentral lists this ribosomal RNA (371 nucleotides) under uncultured organism. RNAcentral's name for it is "bacterial SSU rRNA". It matches the Rfam family "Bacterial small subunit ribosomal RNA", at positions 526 to 896 of the family's 1533-position model. The record is from RNAcentral.